This 1520-nucleotide long non-coding RNA is filed under the name Homo sapiens (human). RNAcentral describes it as "HSALNT0363288". Lineage: Eukaryota; Metazoa; Chordata; Mammalia; Primates; Hominidae. The record is from RNAcentral.
GGAAGAAGAGGGCAUAGGAUAUACUUGCCCAUGUACAUAAAAACCCAUGUACACAGAUAUGCGGUAUAGCCUUAUCUACAGUAAAAAUUGCUGAAACAACUUAAUGGUUCCCCAAAAAGGGAAUGGGUAAUUCAAACACGGCUACCACACAGAUGUUGAAAAGACCAAGGCAGACAUGAAUACAGAUAUGCGGUGCUUACCUAGAUGUACUAGUAACUCAACAGUCCACAGUGCAAGACAGGCUGUGUGGUGUACCCACGCCUGUACAGCUUUACACAUACACAGGUUCUCUGGAAAGAAACUGCAGCAACUGGCCAUGACGGUGGCCUCUGUGGGAAGGGAGGCUGGGGGUUAGAGAAAGAUGCCACUGAAUCACCCACAGGGUUUGAAGUUCAAACAUGUGCAGGUAUGGCUUUGAACAGUUUUCACACAUCUAUUCAUAGGUGAAAUUAACUGGAAGGAAACUAGCAAAGCAUUUGCCUUUGGGGUCAGCACAGGAGCAGAGGCCCAGGCAGGGCCUUGCUUUGACACACAGAUGAUGGGUCACACAGUUGUCACCUUGACAGAAGAGUAACAGGGACAGCACACCAGUCACUCUAGGAGCUGAGGCCAGAGGAACUCAGGUAUUUCCUUCUAGAGGUAGUAAGUCCACCGAGGCAGAUGCCAAGCCGGGUGGUGCCUCGCUGUGUACAAUGUUCUGCUCCCUGUGCCCCUAUGAGUGACCCUAUGAGGUAAGAGCCAGAGCCGGGCUCACACCUGAGCUCCUGGCAUGUGGCGGCCCUUUAGAAGACAGAAAGUGUGUGCUUAGCCCCUGAAGCAGCCACGCUGUGCCCAGCGGAGGGCAGGCGCAGACAGCACUCCUUCCCAGACCAGGAUGCCACUUAAGAUUUCAACAAACUAAACAGACAAGUGAAUAAAAGAUCAUUAAAUACCACUUUUUACAAAUGUCACAGACGCUUUCCUAGAAUAGUUUGUUUUUGGUUUAUUUAAUCUGUGUAGGGGAAAGAAUACCAGGAAUUAGACUCUGGGGCCUGCAGGACCCACUACUGUUUUGUGCUAAGCCAGGCACCGUGUUAUACUCGAUUCCGGUAUGGACAGGCAGCUGCAGCCACUACGCAGUUUUACCCCAGUUCCACGGCACAUGAGGAGAGGACCAACAUUAUUCUAUUUUGGCAGCACGUGCUUUCAACCCAUCUCACAAAACAGUGUCACCAACCAGAUGUGCCAAGAGCCAGAGCAGGUGAAGACACCUACAGAUGCUGCCUCCUCUGGACACUGCCUCUGGGUGCCUCAGCUCUGCACCCAGAGGGAUGCAAAAGAGAUCCCCGCAGCACACUUUGAGAUGGCUAGGAAACUGCAAAUAACCUCAAAGCCAUCACUAGAAAAAUGGUUAAAAUGACCAUACCAACACGUACAAUAUGACAUGUUAUAGAGCCAUAAAAAUAACAGUACACCUUGUAUGAUUCCAUUUUAGGGCAGAGAAUAAUAGGAUACAUUUUAGUACAUCCACAGCCAGAAAA